GGAAGUAAAAGUCCUAACAAGGUCUCCGUUGGUGAACCAGCGGAGGGAUCAUUACAGGACUCGCAAGACUCCUACAACCCUGUGAACUUAACUAUAAGCACGUUGCUUCGGCGGGUGUCUCGGAGGGGGUUCUCCCUCCCCGAGACGCUAAACCCGCCGGCAGCCUACUAUACUCUGUCUCUUUGCGUUGGCAUCUCGAGUACAAUCAAACAAGUUAAAACUUUCAACAACGGAUCUCUUGGUUCUG
RNAcentral lists this unclassified non-coding RNA (247 nucleotides) under plant metagenome. Its description in RNAcentral is "partial contains small subunit ribosomal RNA, internal transcribed spacer 1, and 5.8S ribosomal RNA". The stretch from base 1 to 54 matches the Rfam family "Eukaryotic small subunit ribosomal RNA", at positions 1778 to 1831 of the family's 1831-position model. The record is from RNAcentral.